RNAcentral lists this ribosomal RNA (465 nucleotides) under uncultured bacterium. Its description in RNAcentral is "partial 16S ribosomal RNA". It matches the Rfam family "Bacterial small subunit ribosomal RNA", at positions 338 to 795 of the family's 1533-position model. The record is from RNAcentral.
CCUACGGGAGGCAGCAGUGGGGAAUAUUGCGCAAUGAGCGAAAGCCUUACGCAGCGACGCCGCGUGAGGGAUGAAGGUCUUCGGAUCGUAAACCUCUGUCAGCAGGGAAGAACGGUCACUGUGCUAAUCAGCAGGGAAUUGACGGUACCUGCAAAGGAAGCACCGGCUAACUCCGUGCCAGCAGCCGCGGUAAUAAGGAGGGUGCGAGCGUUAAUCGGAAUUAAUGGGCGUAAAGCGCUCGUAGGCGGUAUGUCAAGUCAAGGGUGAAUUCCCCGCGCUCAACGUGGGAACUGCCUUUGAAACUGGCAAACUGGAGAGUGUGAGAGGAUAGUGGAAUUGCAGGUGUAGGAGUGAAAUCCGUAGAUAUCUGGAGGAACAUCAGUGGCGAAGGCGACUAUCUGGCACAUAACUGACGCUGAGGAGCGAAAGCGUGGGUAGCAAACAGGAUUAGAGACCCUAGUAGUC